This 440-nucleotide ribosomal RNA is filed under the name uncultured bacterium. RNAcentral's name for it is "partial 16S ribosomal RNA". It matches the Rfam family "Bacterial small subunit ribosomal RNA", at positions 338 to 795 of the family's 1533-position model. The record is from RNAcentral.
CCUACGGGCGGCAGCAGUGGGGAAUAUUGCACAAUGGGGGAAACCCUGAUGCAGCGACGCCGCGUGAGUGAAGAAGUAUUUCGGAAUGUAAAGCUCUGUCAGCAGGGAAGAAAAUUACGGUAGCUGAUCAAGAAGCACCGGCUAACUACGUGCCAGCAGCCGCGGUAAUACGUAGGGGGCAAGCGUUAGCCGGAUUUACUGGGUGUAAAGGGAGCGUAGACGGCAGGGCAAGUCUGGAGUGAAAUGCCGGUGCUUAACCCCGGAACUGCUUUGGAAACUGUGCAGCUGGAGUGCAGGAGAGGUUAGUGGAAUUCCAGGUGUAGGGGUGAAAUGCGUAGAUAUUAGGAGGAACACCAGUGGCGAAGGCGGCUAACUGGACUGUAACUGACGUUGAGGCUCGAAAGCGUGGGGAGCAAACAGGAUUAGAUACCCCGGUAGUC